Molecule: ribosomal RNA, 383 nt
Filed under: Stedocys ludiyanensis
Lineage: Eukaryota; Metazoa; Arthropoda; Arachnida; Araneae; Scytodidae
Description: partial large subunit ribosomal RNA
Rfam family: Archaeal large subunit ribosomal RNA
Source: RNAcentral
GUACUAAGGUAGCACAAUCACUAGCCUUUUAAUUGAAGGAUCGAAUGAAAGGACACACGAAUCUAAAAUUAUCUUUCUAACAUUCUACUAAAUUAACAUUAAAGUAAAAAGACUUUAAUACACCUAAGAAAGACAACAAGACCCUACUGAACUUAACUAAAAGUUUCACUGGGGCAGUAAAAUAAUUAAACCUUUUUUACUAACUACAUAUAAAGAUCGAAGACAUGUCAUCAUAAGAACAAGUUACCAUAGGGAUAACAGCGUUAUUUAUCAUUAAAGCUCUUAUAAAAUAAUAAAUUUACGACCUCGAUGUUGAAUUAAAUAACUAAAUCAAGAAACUUUGAUUUCAGAAAGUCUGUUCGACUAUUAAAAAUUUACAUGAU